This 490-nucleotide ribosomal RNA is filed under the name uncultured bacterium. RNAcentral describes it as "partial 16S ribosomal RNA". It matches the Rfam family "Bacterial small subunit ribosomal RNA", at positions 30 to 507 of the family's 1533-position model. The record is from RNAcentral.
AUUGAACGCUGGCGGCAUGCCUUACACAUGCAAGUCGAACGGCAGCACGAUCUAGCUUUCUAGUUUGAUGGCGAGUGGCGAACGGGUGAGUAAUACAUCGGCACGUGUCCUGUUUUGGGGGAUAACUAGUCGAAAGAUUAGCUAAUACCGCAUACGACCUGAGGGUGAGAGGGGGGGGCCGCAAGGCCUCAUGCUGUAGUAGCGGCCGAGGUCUGAUUAGCUAGUUGGUGGGGUAAAGGUUCACCAAGGCGACCAUCAGUAGCUGGUCUGAGAGGACGAUCAGCCACAUUGGAACUGAGACACGGCCCAGACUCCUACGGGAGGCAGCAGUGGGGAAUUGUGGGCAAUGGGCGAAAGCCUGAUCCAGCAAUGCCGCGUGUGUGAAGAAGGCCUUCGGGUUGUAAAGCACUUUUGUCCGGAAAGAAAUGGCUCUGGUUAAUACCUGGGGUGGAUGACGGUAACGGAAGAAUAAGGACCGGCUAACUACGUG